GGGCUACUUGGUGAUAUUGUCAGAU
This 25-nucleotide non-coding RNA is filed under the name Mus musculus (house mouse). The record is from RNAcentral. Lineage: Eukaryota; Metazoa; Chordata; Mammalia; Rodentia; Muridae.